AUUGAACGCUGGCGGCAGGCUUAACACAUGCAAGUCGAGCGAGCGGCGGACGGGUGAGUAAUGUCUGGGAAACUGCCUGAUGGAGGGGGAUAACUACUGGAAACGGUAGCUAAUACCGCAUACUAUCAGAUGAACCCAGAUGGGAUUAGCUAGUAGGUGGGGUAAGGGCUCACCUAGGCGACGAUCCCUAGCUGGUCUGAGAGGAUGACCAGCCACACUGGAACUGAGACACGGUCCAGACUCCGACGGGAGGCAGCAGUGGGGAAUAUUGCACAAUGGGCGCAAGCCUGAUGCAGCCAUGCCGCGUGUAUGAAGAAGGCCUUCGGGUUGUAAAGCACUUUCAGCGGGGAGGCGUUACUCGCAGAAGAAGCACCGGCUAACUCCGUGCCAGCAGCCGCGGUAAUAC
Molecule: ribosomal RNA, 406 nt
Filed under: uncultured bacterium
Lineage: Bacteria
Description: partial 16S ribosomal RNA
Rfam family: Bacterial small subunit ribosomal RNA
Source: RNAcentral